GCCCCUGUAGCUCAGCGGUAGAGCGCGUGCAUGGUAAGCACGAGGUCACGAGUUCAAUCCUCGUCGGGGGCU
Molecule: transfer RNA, 72 nt
Filed under: Microcaldota archaeon
Lineage: Archaea; Nanobdellati; Microcaldota
Also listed under: 2 other names
Description: tRNA-Thr
Rfam family: tRNA
About the family: Transfer RNA (tRNA) molecules are approximately 80 nucleotides in length. Their secondary structure includes four short double-helical elements and three loops (D, anti-codon, and T loops).
Source: RNAcentral